CGCGCGCAGCUCACACGCGCCAGCCCCGGCCGCUCCCACCGCCCGCGACUCUCGGUUAGCGCGUGGCGCCGGGUUCCGUGGACACCAGUGAACUGAGGUGCCUGCGACCUUGAUUAGUGACAUGUGCGCUCCGGGAGUGUCGGGACUCAGAAACUUGCGAGAUGCUCUUACGCUGGGCCUGUAAUCAAUAAACACAAAAUCUGAAUUGCAGAUUACUCGAGCUCCCUCUCCCGGGUCAAGAAUCUCGUUUCUUCUUAGCCGUUAAGUUGAACGGUCCAGAUCAAGAAGCAAAACGAGGACGAUGAUGGACUUUAUAAAAAUCCUCAUGAUUGCACUGAUUUUACGGAGCUGGUCGAGCAGCCCUCCAACUCUGAGGUUUCAUAAGUUUGGUUUCUCAGUAGAGUGUAGUAGGCUGCAUCAUUUGAAAACACUUACUCCACCUUCUUCGUAAUGGGAAGAAAAUCCUCCCACGCUCAGUGAUGCUGAACUGGAUGAAAGGGAUGUGGGAAGUAACUCUGCUGCUUCCAGGCAAAGACCUUACUUGUGAUUGAACACCUCCCGUCCUUCCUAUGCCACACAGGACGCUGGCCCCUCAGCUGGGGUCCCUGAUGUGGGCAUGUGUAGCAGAGGCAAGGUGCUCACCGCCAGGGCACUCGGAACACAACGUGGGCAAGCAAUUUGUUUGUUGUUGCCAGCUACUGGAGAUUGGGGGCAGCUUUCUGUGCAGCCGGUGGAUGAAUAUAAAAACUGAUAUGAGGAGUGGGGUGCUGCUGUAUGAAAAUAAAAAUUGGUGGCAGUUC
This is a long non-coding RNA of Canis lupus familiaris (dog), 800 nucleotides long. RefSeq lists it as uncharacterized. NCBI's taxonomy places the organism in Eukaryota, Metazoa, Chordata, Mammalia, Carnivora, Canidae. The record is from RefSeq and is a predicted model, not a curated record. The transcript has 3 exons.